Molecule: long non-coding RNA, 3347 nt
Organism: Paramormyrops kingsleyae
Lineage: Eukaryota; Metazoa; Chordata; Actinopteri; Osteoglossiformes; Mormyridae
Source: RefSeq, a predicted model, not a curated record
UUACCGUCAAAUGGCCACUUUGGCACUUCCCAGCAGGCCGUGCGGCCAUGACGACGGUCAUCGUCCCAACUCUCACUGGCCAUCAAUCACACCGUGACACAAAGGACUGACAGCUAUGCUUGUUAUAAUAAUGCGUCGGUGAGAAAAACAUGCCGAUUUAGUAACACGGAGGGAAUGUUUACAUGCAACGCUGUACCUGUCACAAGUCUAUGUUUACUUUUGGUGGUGCGAGCACUGAAGAAUAAUUACCUGCUGGGUUGUGAUUGGCUACUGAGGGGAAAAAAAUUCUGAAGGCAAAAGACACCAUGGCAACCCACCUGACACCUUAUGACCUAUUUAAAUGUGAUGUAACCAGACAUAAUUCAGUGAUAUGUCUCAGCUUCCCUGCAAGCAAGUCCAGACGCCCCCCCCCAGCAUCCAUUAUUAAAUAUGCCGCAAAUCUGUAGUCAGAAAUUGAUUUGAAACUCCUUAGAGGCAACCUGCAAACAGCAGAAAAGGAGAUGAGCGGCUGGAGAGCGGCGUGGAGGCGUAGACCAUACUCACGCACGGGAAAAUGGCUUCUUCAUUCAACAGACACAAAGCGGCCCGUGUUUUUAGUACAGCUUGAUACAUUUAACGUAUUUAAUGUUGAUUAGAAUCUUCUGUGCUUCUCAGGCAGGAGCAAAUUACUGUGGGGAAAAAAAAAGUGUUUUGUAAAUCAGUCAUUAACGGAAUUUAAAUUACCGUAGCAGUUGACGGCCCGGGCUUCAGGUGAGGAGUAUUGAAAAGUAACAUUCCCAGGGGAGUCAUAUGGAUUUCAGCAGUUAAAUGAUAUGCUAAUACAAUGAUAAUUGUUAAAAUAAUGUAUUUUAUGCUAAUUACUUCCAACCGAAUUUACAUCAGAUUAUUUCAAAAGUACUCGUAUAUGGAUCACUGUGCCCGUCUUUGUGUGAAGGCAAGCUGUCUUAGUUUAAGGUGCUGGUCUGCCUUGCUAAUUUAUUAAAAAAAACAUUAAUUCUGUUUGGUAACUUUUAUUCUGUUUGGAGUGAAUGGGACCCUGUUUGGUCCCAUAUUUCCUCAGGGGGUUGAGCCCCUACUUAGGGUAAAAUCCUGGAUAGACUCACCCCUGGUGAAUAGCUUCAUAUUAAAAACCAAAGAAACUGGAAUUUAAGUUUUGAAUAAAUAAAAAGAAGUGCAUAAAGCAUACAACUGAAUCUCAUCACAGAAGAUACAGUUAUGCUCCUGGAAAAAAAGCUACAUAUAGAUUUAAAAAAAAAAUCUAUUUAGUAUAUUAUAUUUAUGCAUAUUUUUUGCAACAUAAGCAGCAGGCACUGAGGCGGGCAGCCAAAUGGGGUCCUCACGGCUGCUCUGAUUGCUGGCUGGGACACAGCUGGUACAGCUAACGUUACAGGCAGCUGGCAGCAGGAAAAGGCGGCCAGCUGUCGUGCACAAUGACCCGCUUCAGCUCGCCCGAGCCUUUGGGGCUGCUGGCUGAGCGGCGCUGGCGGCGGCGUGAGCUGGAAACAGAGCCGCGAGACCCUAAUCGGAGACGCGCACUCGUCCUUCUCGAGGCUGCGCCACCGGGACCGGCAACUUUGCCUUCCGUGAUGCUGUGAUGAAAUACUGAGUUUUGCAAGGACACAGACCUACCCCUAUGCUCUCCAGCCUCUCUGAAUCAUCCAGAAGAUUCUGCAGGCUUAGCGAUCGACACUCUUCCUCAGCCAGCCACUCCUGCUCCUUUGGCGGCAGAUGGCGCGACACGAGAGCCGGCCUGACACCCAGACCGGGCCAGGCCUGGCCGCACCUUGUGUUGUCCUCCUGCUCUUCUGCUCAUUCCAGACUCCAGCUCAAACUGCUCCACCCAUCUUCUCCGUCUUAGUGUGUUUUAUGUCUUCACUCCAACAUCAAAUCUAAGAAUUCACUCAGAGCAGGGACUGUAUAUUUUUUUGUAUGCUGAAAGCUUGUGGUAUUUCAUUUAAUACUAAAGCUCAAAAAAUUCAUUUAAAACAGGACAUGCAUUUCUAUAUCAAAAGCUCUGGAAAUCCUAUUAAGAUGAGAGCUAUAAAACGAGUCCACCUAUUUGAACAAUGGUCCUGAAACACUCUGUAAUAAACCCCUCAGAUUGCUGUAAAAGACUUUCCAUGUGGCUAUUUGAAGAUGAUAUUGUGUCACUCGGGUCUGAAUGUUACAACUCGAAACCAAAAUCAUCAAAACAGCAGCUAAAGUCCCUUUAAAGGGAGGAUUGCUAGCAGAGCUGGAAUUAAAGAGAAACAUUGCUUUUUUUGUAAAGGUCAACCGAUAAAUGUAACAAUGGCCCACCUAUUAAUUUUCUGUGCCACGUUUCCGCUUAAUUGACUCCUAAUGGGUUUUCUGCUAGUUUCAAACAGCCAGCUAAUUGGAUCGCAGUCAGGCAAAGCACAUGGAAAGCCGCGUGGUUUUAUCGCUCCGCUGUCUUUCAUAUUCCGUUUUCUCUAAUGAAACCUCCAUGCCUGCCAUCCUAGAGCCAUGGCCGUCUACAGCCCAGAGGACCUCGCUGUUCCCCCAGUCAUGCUCAUUCGCUUCACUCCGCUCUCUUUCAAACAGCAGCCAUAUUGACCGACGCACCAUGUAUUCUCUUCUGAAGGUUACAGUUCAGUUCGGUUCAUUUCAGUGUUUCCUUUAGGUUCUUUCCAACGUGGUUUUACUCGGGAUGCAACAUCAGAGUUACAGAUGGGCUACAGUGGCAGCUGACAUUAAUGAGAGUGUAACAGAUUACUGGCAGACUAAAAACAAGCAGGAUUUUAACAUUUUUAAAAGGGUAAAGGAGCCACAUGGGAACUAGAGGAAGAAAACAAAUAAUUCUAAUAUUCUUUGGUCCUGCUCUGGGGCUGAUCAUCCAGUAUAGCCAGGCAUACCUCAUGUGUCAAAGCAGGAGCGCUGACUGUUGGCUUCUGAUUGGCUUUCCACGUUGCUGGCCGGUGACCUGUAACAGGGAUUGGUCGGUGACUUUGUUGCAUUAUUGAGUCCAGGCUAGGCUUGAUCCAGAAGCUCAGUGUGUAGGUUUGAUGCUUAGGCAGAGACAUUCCCAAGUGAGAAGUGUGAGGGAGAGAGAACAUGGUCCACGAUGUACAACAGAGAGCUCCAUUAAGCGAGAGAAUGAAGGACUUUUGCAUGAAAUCAAAGCAAUGAUGUCAAGGCAAAGAAAUGAAAAUGUUACAUUUUUGUGGUAAUGGUCUAUAGCCUAUAGUACAAUGUAAAAUCCCUUCCUAAGCUCUUUCCAGGUUUUCUGCAUUUGAUCAUUACUGGAGGAAACAUCACCAUCUGUGCUUGUGAUGUUUCGACGUCAGACAAAUACAAUUUGGCUAUAAAUAAAAUUCAAGUUCAAUCGA